UACGGAGGAUCCAAGCGUUAUCUGGAAUCAUUGGGUUUAAAGGGUCCGUAGGCGGUUUAGUAAGUCAGUGGUGAAAGCCCAUCGCUCAACGGUGGAACGGCCAUUGAUACUGCUAGACUUGAAUUAUUAGGAAGUAACUAGAAUAUGUAGUGUAGCGGUGAAAUGCUUAGAGAUUACAUGGAAUACCAAUUGCGAAGGCAGGUUACUACUAAUGGAUUGACGCUGAUGGACGAAAGCGUGGGUAGCGAACAGG
RNAcentral lists this ribosomal RNA (253 nucleotides) under uncultured bacterium. RNAcentral describes it as "partial 16S ribosomal RNA". It matches the Rfam family "Bacterial small subunit ribosomal RNA", at positions 524 to 776 of the family's 1533-position model. The record is from RNAcentral.